This 169-nucleotide ribosomal RNA is filed under the name Umbrina roncador (yellowfin drum). RNAcentral describes it as "partial small subunit ribosomal RNA". The record is from RNAcentral. Lineage: Eukaryota; Metazoa; Chordata; Actinopteri; Sciaenidae.
CGCCGCGGUUAUACGAGAGGCCCAAGUUGAUGGUUAACGGCGUAAAGGGUGGUUAGAAAGAGACUAUUACUAAAGCCGAACGCCUUCAAGGCUGUUAUACGCAUCCGAAGGUGAGAAGCCCAUUCACGAAAGUGGCUUUAAUAACUUUGAACCCACGAAAGCUAGGAAA